Molecule: non-coding RNA, 106 nt
Filed under: Dehalogenimonas lykanthroporepellens
Lineage: Bacteria; Bacillati; Chloroflexota; Dehalococcoidia; Dehalococcoidales; Dehalococcoidaceae
Description: TPP sequence
Rfam family: TPP riboswitch aptamer (THI element)
About the family: Vitamin B(1) in its active form thiamin pyrophosphate (TPP) is an essential coenzyme that is synthesised by coupling of pyrimidine and thiazole moieties in bacteria. The previously detected thiamin-regulatory element, thi box was extended, resulting in a new, highly conserved RNA secondary structure, the THI element, which is widely distributed in eubacteria and also occurs in some archaea.
Source: RNAcentral
UAUCGUUACUGGGGGAGCUGUCAGGCUGAGAGUUCCGGAGCUUUUCGGACGACCCUUGGAACCUGGUCUCGGUAAUGCGAGCGUAGGGAAGUAGCAUCGGAUUCGG